This 130-nucleotide ribosomal RNA is filed under the name uncultured bacterium. RNAcentral's name for it is "partial 16S ribosomal RNA". It matches the Rfam family "Bacterial small subunit ribosomal RNA", at positions 1373 to 1501 of the family's 1533-position model. The record is from RNAcentral.
CCCGGGCCUUGUACANACCGCCCGUCACACCAUGGGAGUUGGUUUUACCCGAAGCCGGUGCGCUAACCGCAAGGAGGCAGCCGACCACGGUAGGGUCAGCGACGUGGGGUGAAGUCGUAACAAGGUACCC